This 253-nucleotide ribosomal RNA is filed under the name uncultured bacterium. Its description in RNAcentral is "partial 16S ribosomal RNA". It matches the Rfam family "Bacterial small subunit ribosomal RNA", at positions 524 to 776 of the family's 1533-position model. The record is from RNAcentral.
UACGGAGGAUGCAAGCGUUAUCCGGAAUUAUUGGGCGUAAAGCGUCCGCAGGUGGCACUUCAAGUCUGUCGUCAAAGACUGGGGCUUAACCCCGGAAAGGCGGUGGAAACUGAAGCGCUAGAGUGCGGUAGGGGUAGAGGGAAUUCCCGGUGUAGCGGUGAAAUGCGUAGAGAUCGGGAAGAACAUCGGUGGCGAAAGCGCUCCACUGGACCGCAACUGACACUCAGGGACGAAAGCUAGGGGAGCGAAUGGG